Molecule: long non-coding RNA, 1279 nt
Filed under: Marmota monax (woodchuck)
Lineage: Eukaryota; Metazoa; Chordata; Mammalia; Rodentia; Sciuridae
Source: RNAcentral
UAAAGGGCAGAAAUGUCAUCAGUUCAAAAUACUGAACUUCCUGAACUUGCUUUCAGCUAAAGGUGCAAUAUGACACCAGAAAGAUGUAGAAUAUCCCUGGAGGCUUUCUUUCCAACCCCAAGAACAAACUCCCCAAACAUCCCAAGAACAGUGCUCUUCCCCUCUGCACUCUCUGCUUCUUCCUGCCCCGUGAGUGGUCCGGUGCUUGCAGACUAGGCAUUUGUCUUGCAACUAUGAAGAGGAAAUCUACAAGACCAAAGACAGAAGGAGCUGGAAGAUGGAAGGAAUGGAAUUCCCAAUGAAAGCCUUGUACAUGGCAUUUUUUGAUAUUUGAAACAGAGCACAUUUCUAACAGAUAGAAUAUGGCACAUCUGGGAAGAGACCCACCAGAUAAAGCACAAUACUCCUGAAAAUGUAUCUAACAAAAUGAAACUAUUAGCUACCUCUUCCUAAAAUGGUAAGGGACUGCCAUUAAAUUUCCAGUGAAUGAGGGAUGAUAAAUGGAAAUUAACCGAGUUACUCAUUGUUAUGUAAAAUGAGCAAAAUAAUUUAUCAUUUCUAUUUGGGGUUCUGUCUGUGGUAUUUUAGAAAACCUAGGAAUAUAAGAGAAUUCCCAAGUUUUCGUACAACCUGAGUCUGCAAAGUGUGUCUAUUUUUUCUGUAGAAGAUUUUAAGUUCUUCAACUUUAAAUAGUACUUCCUUAGGUGUGUUUAGAAUCCUCAAUCUGGCUGAAAAUCAUAAUGUCAUAAUGUCAAUAUCAUAAUGUCCUAAUGUCAAUAUCAGCAACGUCAUAAUCCUCUAGGUCAUUGAGCCAAAGGUACAAUCAAACAAACAAUCACAGUCUUACAGUUCAAUUCAGCUCCUACUUCUGUGGUUCUUGCAUCUUUUAACACCUAGAAAUAAAUUUAGUACCUGGAUAAGGAACUAAUACCAAUAAUGCUAUUCACCCUGCAGGUUCCUUAACAUUUUGUUGUCUAGGCAGAUUGCAAUGCUAUACACUCCAGGUGAAUUGUGAAGAAUCUAUUAUGGACUCUUGAGAAUCUAAGAAUUGUGUGGCAGCCUAGUUGUUCUGAUUCCCAAGUCAUGCUGUUUCAUAGAUUCAAAUCUACCUUAGGUAAACUUGGCAUUUAUAAGUGACCUCUUUUAGGAAAUGUGGAUAUAUUUUUGUUAACAGUAAUAUGUAGUAAAAAAAAUGCUAAGAUUCAUAUCAGAAAAAGGUUUGACUUCUGUUAAUUAAAAUGCAAACACAUUUAAAGUAUAUACAUAAUACACAGUUGGA